GACGAACGCUGGCGGCGUGCUUAACACAUGCAAGUCGAACGAUGAACCCGGAGCUUGCUCUGGGGGAUUAGUGGCGAACGGGUGAGUAACACGUGAGUAACCUGCCCUGGACUCUGGGAUAAGCGUUGGAAACGACGUCUAAUACCGGAUAGGACCUUGGAUCGCAUGAUCUGGGGUGGAAAGUUUUUUCGGUCUGGGAUGGACUCGCGGCCUAUCAGCUUGUUGGUGAGGUAAUGGCUCACCAAGGCGUCGACGGGUAGCCGGCCUGAGAGGGUGACCGGCCACACUGGGACUGAGACACGGCCCAGACUCCUACGGGAGGCAGCAGUGGGGAAUAUUGCACAAUGGGCGAAAGCCUGAUGCAGCAACGCCGCGUGCGGGAUGACGGCCUUCGGGUUGUAAACCGCUUUUAGUAGGGAAGAAGGGCUUCGGCUUGACGGUACCUGCAGAAAAAGGACCGGCUAACUACGU
RNAcentral lists this ribosomal RNA (471 nucleotides) under uncultured bacterium. RNAcentral's name for it is "partial 16S ribosomal RNA". It matches the Rfam family "Bacterial small subunit ribosomal RNA", at positions 28 to 506 of the family's 1533-position model. The record is from RNAcentral.